GACGAACGCUGGCGGCGUGCUUAACACAUGCAAGUCGAGCGGUAAGGCCCUUUCGGGGGUACACGAGCGGCGAACGGGUGAGUAACACGUGGGUGACCUGCCCUCAGCUCUGGGAUAAGCCUGGGAAACCGGGUCUAAUACUGGAUAUGACUCCAUGACGCAUGUUGUGGGGUGGAAAGCCUUGUGCGGCUGAGGAUGGGCCCGCGGCCUAUCAGCUUGUUGGUGGGGNGAUGGCCUACCAAGGCGACGACGGGUAGCCGGCCUGAGAGGGCGACCGGCCACACUGGGACUGAGACACGGCCCAGACUCCUACGGGAGGCAGCAGUGGGGAAUCUUGCGCAAUGGGCGAAAGCCUGAACGCAGCGACGCCGCGUGAGGGAUGACGGCCUGGUGUAC
RNAcentral lists this ribosomal RNA (396 nucleotides) under uncultured bacterium. Its description in RNAcentral is "bacterial SSU rRNA". It matches the Rfam family "Bacterial small subunit ribosomal RNA", at positions 28 to 424 of the family's 1533-position model. The record is from RNAcentral.